RNAcentral lists this ribosomal RNA (102 nucleotides) under Microtus ochrogaster (prairie vole). Lineage: Eukaryota; Metazoa; Chordata; Mammalia; Rodentia; Cricetidae. The record is from RNAcentral.
GUCUAUUGUCAUAUCACCCUAAACCUGCUGGAUCACAUCAGAUCUAGGAGGUCAAGUAGGGACAGGCCUGGUUAGUACUUGAAUAAGAGAACAAGCAAGACU